AACGCACCUUGCGCCCCUUGGCUAUUCCGAGGGCAUGCCUGUUUGAGUAUCAUGAACACCUCAACUCUCAUGGUUCGCCGUGAUGAGCUUGGACUUUGGGGGUUUGCUGGCCCAUGGUUGGCUCCUCUUGAAUGAAUCAGCUAGCCAGUGUUUGGUGGCGUCACAAGUGUGAUAACUAUCUACUCUUGCGAUUGCCUGCCAGGUAACCUUCAGUGAUGGAGGUUUGCUGGGGCUCAUAGAUGUCUCUCCUCAGCGAGGACAGCUUUUUAAAGUUCGAUCUCAAAUCAGGUAGGACUACCCGCUGAACUUAA
RNAcentral lists this ribosomal RNA (311 nucleotides) under uncultured Tomentella. RNAcentral describes it as "eukaryotic LSU rRNA". The record is from RNAcentral. Lineage: Eukaryota; Fungi; Basidiomycota; Agaricomycetes; Thelephorales; Thelephoraceae.